This 253-nucleotide ribosomal RNA is filed under the name uncultured bacterium. Its description in RNAcentral is "partial 16S ribosomal RNA". It matches the Rfam family "Bacterial small subunit ribosomal RNA", at positions 524 to 776 of the family's 1533-position model. The record is from RNAcentral.
UACGUAGGUGGCAAGCGUUGUCCGGAUUUACUGGGUGUAAAGGGCGUGCAGCCGGGAAGACAAGUCAGAUGUGAAAUCCCGCGGCUCAACCGCGGAACUGCAUUUGAAACUGUUUUUCUUGAGUAUCGGAGAGGUAAUCGGAAUUCCUAGUGUAGCGGUGAAAUGCGUAGAUAUUAGGAAGAACACCAGUGGCGAAGGCGGUCUGCUGGACAGCAACUGACGCUGAGGCGCGAAAGCGUGGGGAGCAAACAGG